This is a long non-coding RNA of Vitis riparia (riverbank grape), 3545 nucleotides long. RefSeq lists it as uncharacterized. NCBI's taxonomy places the organism in Eukaryota, Viridiplantae, Streptophyta, Magnoliopsida, Vitales, Vitaceae. The record is from RefSeq and is a predicted model, not a curated record. The transcript has 5 exons.
UCAAGCAUGGAUGAUAUAUGGAGUUGCAGUGAUGGUUACUUUUCAUAGCUAUUUUUAUUUUCGUAUUCCAGUAUCUGCAUGAAAUGAAGCUUGUUGUGAAACGUUAGUGUAAAUGAAACAUCUGCUGGAUAAUUUGGAAGACUGAAUAAACCUUGAUUUGAUUCAUUUGAGAAGAAGGAUCAACUUCCUCAUAUCCUGGGGAAACAUUUAAUUGCGUUAGUCUACCUUAAGUGCCAUUCAAAGUUUCUCAAUGCUUUUUGCCUGUUGAACUAGAACUCUUCCUAAGACUUUUCUUUUUUCUUUCUUCUUUUUUUUUUUUUUUUUUUUUUCUUGUCCUGAAGUUUUUGAUCAUCAUCUUUUGAAUUUCACCAUUCAAAUUUGUCAUAAUGAACUGUGGAUCCGACAGGUUUGGCAGUAGUGAUUUCUGAAAUGAGUUUUCAUGGUAAUAAUUUGAUGAAAAAACCUUCUUACACUAUAUACACAAGGAGAGAAUGAUCGCUUGGGAAUAAUUGCAUUCCUUGUUCUUAAUCCAAAGGCCCAUGGGCAGAAUCUGACAAACUAUCACUCAUUGUGGAUCUGGCGAAGUAAACAUGAAACCGAUGUUUUUAGUAUGUUCACCAGUUAAAGCUGAUGGACUCAAAAUGUAGGUUAUCUGCCAAACCAGAUGAACAGAUAGCUGCAACUUCUUGCCUCAUCUUUCUUGGGCCACUGACAAGAACUCCAACGCUAGAUCCUGCACACUCAGAUAUCAUUCCUGCAGGGGAGAAAAAUGAAAUUUAUUUCAGAAGGGCUUAGAAACUGAAAAUAAUUUGCAAUUGGGAAUGUUACUGAUGGUUUUUUGGGAGAUGAAGAAAAGGGAAGAAGGUGAAGAUUCACACAAUGCUGUGUGGCGACAAAACUCGGUCUUGAAAUAAUACAUUGGCAACUUUGUUUUGUACCUUCUUCCUUUUUUUGGUUGUGUGGUGUGUGCCUUCAUUUUUUUUUUUAAUAGUAUUCUUCCAUAGUCUUUUGUUGAGUAUAAAUAUCACUUCAUAAACUAUUGUAUUGUGCAAUAAAAAGUCUUCUGAAAUCAUUAAACGGAUAUCGAAUGUUAAUCUUACUUCUUAGGUUGGGUCUUUCACCAUAGUGCACCUUGGUUGCUUCGACAAAAGACUGGUGUGGAAAGGCUUCCAACUCUCUAUCUGCAUUGUAAAACCAUGAGCCUGGUGAUGUGGUUGGUGUUGGUGCGGCCGUGUUUUGGAUCUGCCUCAUUUCCUUGGUUGCCUGUUUUUUGUUCCAAAGAAAAGCUGCAGUUGCAGGCAUGGAUAUGGAGACACACAUGAGUAACAUGUUUAGAGCAGAUCUUGCAGAGUAGGAGUAGAUCAUGUUAGUGUUAUGGUCAAUUGGUUGUAUAUAGUAUCGUGUAAGAAUGCCGAUUAUCAGAAGAAAAAUGAUGAAAGAAGAUGACAUGAUUGUUCCAAGCCACAGCCAGCUAUUUGGGCCUAAAAUGGCAGAAACUGGUACAUCCAAUGUGUUGGGCUUGAAGUUGAACCAUAUGGUUCUAAGGAGUUUCUGGUUUUCUCUUGUGGGCUCUGUUUCUCUUGUUACAUACACUUCAAUUUGUAAUUGCAACUGAGAAAUAUCAGAGGUUGUGCCUGAAACCGGGAGGAGGAGGUCUAGCAUGGCGACAUCCAGAGAUUUCUUGAAAGCAGAAAUGAGAAGAACCCUUGGAGUCUUGCUGCUCAUUCUGUUGGCUCUGAAGAGGAGCUCACGGAUGAUGGAGAUGAAAGGAGUAAUGCCACUUCCUCCACUCACCAUCACAAGCAUGUAAUGCCUGCACCAUAUUUUUCUCCAUCUUAAUCAAAGGAUCUGUAUUACUGUUUGAGGUGAUUGUAAAAGGAUGCCAUUGCAGCUUGGAAAUGCUAGGCACAUUUAUAAAGAGGGUGCUUGUUGGAGUAUAGUUCAGCCCUGAGAAGUUCAACUCAACAGCUUCACAAGGUAAAAGGCGGGCUGCAACCAAGCGAACCCUUUGUUGGGAUUGUAAGAAUCGCAAGUAUCGGUCUAUCAAGAAAAGGUAGAAACCUGGAAGCAUGAUGCAGGAGUAGGAGAUGCCCACAUGUAACACGAAAAAGACGAUGAAAAGGAUGUACAGAUGAUGGGUAUAAAAGAAGAGCUCAAAGAUCUUCUGCCUUAUACGAGGGAAGCUUGUUGCCCACAUGGCUAAUCCAGAUAGUAAGGCAAGCUCUCCAGCCACAUUGGAGACCCCGAUCUCAUCCCAUGUGAGCAUCUGCAGUUCCGGAAAAACAGUGAGGAGCUAGCAAAUGUAACAUAGUCUGAAUCGUAUACCAGCCCAAAAGAUAAUGUAACAUAAGCCAUGGGCAGUGAAGAGCGUCAUGACAAUGUGACCGAGCCAGAUAUGAUACUUGAUGCUUGACUCAGAUGUAAGGCCGAUGAGCCGCAAAACAGAAGAUCCUCGUGUCACUGGAAAGAACAGAAAGGCUAGGCAAAUGUUCCCAACAAGGCCUAGCAUCAGAGCUGCACUUUCUAACUUGGCUUCCCACCUGCCAAUUCCUCAAUGAAUGUAUGAAAAGAUUGGCGGGUGAUAUUUGCAAACAUACCGUGCAAAUAAGCUGAAACAGACCAAACCAAGAGGACAAAGAACAUGGAUAAAAAGGAUAGCUCUAUCCAAGAAACAAUCCCCAGAGUGCCCUUCACGAGCACAGGUCGUUUCCAUAAAGCCCAUCGAGAAUUUUCAGCUAUGUCAUGAUCAACACAUUUCUUUCCUAAGUGGAGAUAUAAACAGCCCAAAGUAGCAAUGAGUAGGACCGGAAACGUAUAAAUGAGGAAGUUGGCACCUGUACCACACAAGAAGAAAGCAGCUAAAAGUGAACACUCUUUUUGAGCUAAUUUCUUCAGUCUGGAGUAUAGAAAAGGCACCAAACCUUGUUGUCCAAAAUACUUGGAAUCAGUUUUUGCAUGGAUGUCAGGCAACCAAUGCAGCCAAAACGUGUUGGUGGGCAUCAUGAUCCAUACCAUAAUGUAGCCAAGAAAGGCUGCCAUUACAAACAACCUGAUCACCGAUCGAAGAGCAUCAACUCCUACCCAACAGGACGUUCCUCCUAUCACCUUUGGAUCCAUAUCUCCUCUCUUGUUGCAAGGGUCUUGGUAUAGGCUACCUUAAUAUAUUAGCCAAAGGUUCCCACAAAAACAUGCUCAUAGAUUUGACCAAAAAUUAUAGCAGUCCAAUUGGGGUCCAGUUCACAUAUAAAAUUUGUUUUGCCUGCCCGAUUGUGGGUGAAAUCCAUAAAAAUUUGACUGCUAUAUGGGAGGCACCAAUAUGCCACAGUUAUGGCCUUCUCUUGUUGUUCCUUCCAUCCUAUGUUCAUGCAACAUGCUCUAUUUUAUUAAUGUUUUCUGUCACCUUCUAGCUUUGGAAAACAAGUACCCAGCUGCUGCAAGUUGUACUCUUUUUUCCCCCUUGCGUAUGGAAUAUGAUUUAGAAAAAAGUAUUUGAAUUUAGGUGAAGACUGGUUGUUGAAUGCUAACAUGGACUCAGUGAUUUGUAU